AGGUAAAUGUUUUUUAAAGUAGUAUGUUUAAUAUUGCAACAAAGUGUUUGUACAUUUCUAGGUUUUAGAAGAAGUUCUAUGAGUUAUUAUUCUUAUGAUUGAGUGGCAACAGUUGCGGCAGUGGUCUACUCAGUGUGAAAACUCCUUGCUUCCGGAUCGCAGGCAUCUGUGACUUCAGAAAGCUUUCGGAGAAAUGGUUGUUGCAGUUGGAGGGGAAAGAUGACAAUAUUUGUCCUUCUCAGUGUGUUUUUAUCGAGUGAAUGAGGUGGUUGACUCUGUCAUGCUCACUUUUUGCUAUCAGAAAGCACAUCAGUAGCUAUCACAGAUAGGAUCAUUUCCAUUCAAGAAACAAGGGGUGGAUGCUUUAAGAUCAGUGAAUAAGCUUAUUAAAAACGAAUUUCGACAAGCAAGUGAUCUAACAAUGAUGAAAGAACUGCAUGGAGCAAAACAUAUUGAGAAUUGUUGCUACAUAAUGUCUAAUAUCGACAUGUCCAUAAUGACAAACAAGUUGCGGCCUUCUUUUCUGAUAAUGUGAUACUCCAUAAUUAAG
Molecule: non-coding RNA, 550 nt
Organism: Parasteatoda tepidariorum (common house spider)
Lineage: Eukaryota; Metazoa; Arthropoda; Arachnida; Araneae; Theridiidae
Source: RefSeq, a predicted model, not a curated record